GGAGAGCUGUCCGAGUGGUCGAUGGUGGUUGACUUGAAAUCAACUGGGUUUCAAAGCCCCGGGGGUUCGAAUCCCUCGCUCUCCGCCA
Molecule: transfer RNA, 88 nt
Filed under: Synergistaceae bacterium
Lineage: Bacteria; Thermotogati; Synergistota; Synergistia; Synergistales; Synergistaceae
Description: tRNA-Ser
Rfam family: tRNA
About the family: Transfer RNA (tRNA) molecules are approximately 80 nucleotides in length. Their secondary structure includes four short double-helical elements and three loops (D, anti-codon, and T loops).
Source: RNAcentral